AUUGAACGCUGGCGGCAGGCCUAACACAUGCAAGUCGAACGGUAACAGUUUCUAGCUUGCUAGAAGAUGACGAGUGGCGGACGGGUGAGUAAUGCUUGGGAACUUGCCUUUGCGACGGGGGAGUAACAGUUGGAAAACGACUGCUAAUACCGCAUAAUGUCUUCGGACCAAACGGGGCUCCGGCUCCGGCGCAAAGAGAGGCCCAAGUGAGAUUAGCUAGUUGGUAAGGUAACGGCUUACCAAGGCGACGAUCUCUAGCUGUUCUGAGAGGAAGAUCAGCCACACUGGGACUGAGACACGGCCCAGACUCCUACGGGAGCAGCAGUGGGGAAUAUUGCACAAUGGGGGAAACCCUGAUGCAGCCAUGCCGCGUGUGUGAAGAAGGCCUUCGGGUUGUAAAGCACUUUCAGUUGUGAGGAAAAGUUAGUAGUUAAUACCUGCUAGCCGUGACGUUAACAACAGAAGAAGCACCGGCUAACUCCGUG
Molecule: ribosomal RNA, 485 nt
Filed under: uncultured bacterium
Lineage: Bacteria
Description: bacterial SSU rRNA
Rfam family: Bacterial small subunit ribosomal RNA
Source: RNAcentral